AUUGAACGCUGGCGGCAGGCCUAACACAUGCAAGUCGAACGAGUGGCGGACGGGUGAGUAAUGUCUGGGAAACUGCCUUAUGGAGGGGGAUAACUACUGGAAACGGUAGCUAAUACCGCAUACCAUCAGAUGUGCCAAGAUGGGAUUAGAGAGUUGGUGGGGUAACGGCUCACCAAGGCGACGAUCCCUAGCUGGUCUGAGAGGAUGACCAGCCACACUGGAACUGUGACACGGCCCAGACUCCGACGGUAGGCAGAAGGGGGGAAUAUUGCACAAUGUGCGCAAGCCUGAUGCAGCCAUGCCGCGGGUAUGAAGAAGGCCUUCGGGUUGUAAAGUACUUUCAGCGGGGAGGCGUUACCCGCAGAAGAAGCACCGGCUAACUCCGUGCCAGCAGCCGCGGUAAUAC
RNAcentral lists this ribosomal RNA (406 nucleotides) under uncultured bacterium. Its description in RNAcentral is "partial 16S ribosomal RNA". It matches the Rfam family "Bacterial small subunit ribosomal RNA", at positions 30 to 526 of the family's 1533-position model. The record is from RNAcentral.